CCUACGGGAGGCAGCAGUGGGGGAUAUUGCACAAUGGGGGAAACCCUGAUGCAGCGACGCCGCGUGAGUGAAGAAGUAUUUCGGUAUGUAAAGCACUAUCAGCAGGGAAGAAAAUGACAGUACCUGACCAAUAAGCCACGGCUAACUACGUGCCAGCAGCCGCGGUAAUACGGAGGGGGCAAGCGUUAGCUGGAUUUACUGGGUGUAAAGGUAGCGUAGACGGUUAUGUAAGUCUGGUGUGAAAGCCCGGGGCCCAACCCCGGGUCUGAUUUGGAAACUGUGUAACUUGAGUACAGGAGGGGCAGGUAGAAUUCCAGGUGUAGCGGUGAAAUGCGUAGAGAUCAGGAGGAACACCGGCGGCGAAGGCGGCCCGCUGGACUGAAACUGACGUUGAGGCUCGAAAGCGUGGGGAGCAAACAGGAUUAGAUACCCGAGUAGUC
RNAcentral lists this ribosomal RNA (440 nucleotides) under uncultured bacterium. RNAcentral describes it as "partial 16S ribosomal RNA". It matches the Rfam family "Bacterial small subunit ribosomal RNA", at positions 338 to 795 of the family's 1533-position model. The record is from RNAcentral.